AAAGUGCUGGGAUUACAGGCUUGAGCCACCGCGCCCGGCCACCAGUGUACUUUUUAUCCUGUUACUUAAGUGUUGAUGAUUACUGCUUAUAACUAGAAGGGGUAAAUGUGUUUCUCACAUAUUACAGAGUUUCAUGCACAUGGAAAUUUGAAGCAAAAAGAAAAAAAAAGGAGUGUAUUAAUCAAGAUUCUCCAGAGAAACAGGAACAAUAAGAAAUAUAUAGAAAUAUAGAGAUAUAGAGAGAUAGAGAAUAUAUGUCAAUCCAUGCAUUCAUCCAUCUAUCUGUGUAUCUAUCAUGUCUAUCCAUCCAUUCAUCUAUCAUCUGUCUAUCUAAUCUGUUUAUCUAUCUGUCUUUAUUAUACAGAAUUGCUUCAUGUGAUUAUGGAGGCUGACAAGUCCCAAGACUCACAGUUGGUAAGCUGGACACCCAAGAAAGCUGGUGCUGCACAUAUUACCAGUGAUGAGUUCCAGUCUGAAUCUGAAGGCCUGAGAACCAGGACAGUUGAUGGUCUAAAAGCCCAAGCAGCACACAGCAGGAGUUGACCAGAAAGGAGAGCUGGCAGGGGAAGAAUCUGUAAUUAAGCAAACAAGCAACAGCAGACAGUAUCCACGGGCAGCACCACCUGGACUGUCCUUCCAGCCAAUGCAAAUGUGACCUUCCAGAGGCCUGGGCAGGAGGGUGUUAGAGGCUUUAGCUGCCACGGCCGAAAUCACUUGGGGGAGAAGUGAGGAGCACUGGAGAGAGAUGACUUUGUUACAUGGACCGUUGUUCCCUGGGUAGAGACUGCAGGCCUGGUCUUCAAAGGCCUGCUGCUGUUUUGUGUGUUCAGAAGCAAUUUAGAAAAUGCUGUCAUGUCAACUUUAUUUCCUUGCUCUCUAGGGGUGCUCAGUGGUUGCCCAAAAAUAAUCCCCUAUAAGGCUGAAAGUUACUGUAAGUUGUUCACUGCACUGGGCUUAACUUCAAAUGUACAGGAGCCAGAAUUUUUAAUCAACUUUAUUUUAUAAAGCCUAUUGAUAUUUUUCUAAUUAUAAAAGAAAUGCACACUCAUGCUAAAAAAACUUGAAAUUUUAGACAAGUAUCAAACAAAUGAAAAAUCAUCUGUAAUGCAGGUUUUGUCUUAUAGUCACUAUAUAAUUUACUCUGAGUUUCUCAAGAAAUAUGCUCCAGUCUCUAUAUGUUUAUACUAAAAUGUAUUUUCUUUAGGGGCUUGAGUAUUUGAAGGAUUAGGCAUCUUGUGAGGCAUCAGCACCCUAAAACUAACACAUUGUUGCUUUUUGUCUUUUUUUAAUGCCAAUACAUAAAGCAAAAUUUUGGUGAAUUUAAGUGCUGUGAAUACUCUCCCCACAGUUCAUGAGUUCCUAAGACAGGGUUUCAGAUUUACUCGAUUUUUUAUUUUAUUUUAUUUUUGAGACAAGUUCUCACUCUGUUGCUCAGGUAGGAGUCCAGUGGCACAAUCGUGGCUCACUGCAGCCUCAACCUCCCAGGUUCGAUCGAUCCUCCCACCUCAGCCUCCCACGUAGCUAGGACUGCAAGUGCGUACUACUGUGCCCAGCUCGUUUUAAAUUUUUUUGGAGAGACAGCGUCUUGCUUUGCUGCCCAGGUUGCUUUCAAACUCCUGGGCUCAAGCAAUACUCCUGUCCUAGCCUCCCAAAGUGCUGGGAUUACAGGUGGGAGCCACUACGCUCAGCCAGAUUUACUUGGAUUUUGCUCUCUUCUGGACUUACCAAAUCCUUUUUAGGACUUAGUCCAUAGUUACACCCCUUAAAUAACUGUAAAACCAACUCUCUAUAAGAAGGAUAUUUACCAGGAGGCAAGAUCUACUGCUGAACCUGCAAAUGCUCAUAAAAGAAUGACACAGUGAAAGAAAGAGCUGAUGAAUGAGUGAAUAGAUUCAUGGAAAUAAAUUCUGUUGGGGUCUUUAGAAGCUGUACCUUAACUUUAAUUUUUUUUUCAUAAUUUACUAAAUGGGUAUAGAGUGCUUUCAUAGUAGUUCUCAACUUGGGUGGGGCCUGAUUUGCCUCUCAGGGGACCUUUUGGAAUAUGACAUUGGACAUUUUUGAUUGUCACGACUAGGGGGUGAGUAUGCCCUUUACCCAGUGCGUAAAGGCCAGGGAUGCUAUUAAACAUUCUGCAAUGCAUGGGCCAUCCCCGCAGAACAAAGAAGUACGAAACUGCCAAUUACUAAAAUGUUAAUAGAGCCUAGGCUGAGAAACCCUGGUGUAGCACAAAGGUGGGUACAUUUCAUUGAUUUUGUAGGGAAGAGUAGGGAACUAGAAGACUAUCACACUGAGCAGAGUGGCUACCUACAGGUCAAACACGAAGGAUUCCUGUGCAGAUAAAUAAGAUCAUAAAAGUGAUGAUAAAACAAUGCCAUCUCUUCUAUUAAGAAAAGAAAUCAUCUUUUUUUUCUUGGCACAGAUGGUCUUAGGCCUGUAAAUCUGCCAUUCUUUCAGUAAUCACAUGAAGAAAAGGGAUGAUUUAAAGCAGUUAUAUGGUUUAUCUUGCAGAAGGAAAGUGUGGGUGUGUGAAGAAGAAUAGUAAACAUAAAUUCUGUUUUACAUCUGAGAAGCAAAGCCAUUUAGAGUAUUACACAGCUUCUAUCGGAGCUAUGGCUGAAAGGGAGGUGUAAGAUAUGGUCAAUGAUUUGAAAUGAUUGAUGAGGAUUUCUGUAAAAGGAAUACAAAGGCCUGGGUAAAGCCAGGACUUUGUGAUGUGCCAUAAUAUAAUUUUAUACUGUUUUUCCCACAGUCAAAUAAAGUUCAGUAGUAUAGAUAAAUUGUUACCUUGUAUUAGUACUUCCUAGGUUGCCUGUCAGAAUGCUUUAUUCAAAGAGACAGAUUUAUAUUUCACAAGGAAAUGAUUUCUAAAGCUCUUACAGUUAAUAAUUUUUCAUCUAGAGAAAAGCCAGAUUCAGCCAUUCCACCCAGAGAUUGGGAGAUUAGCCCAGAAUGAGCUCAGUACAUGAAAUACUUUUUUCUGAUAUUUAAAUAAGGAAUCAUAUCUUAAUGUUGUGGAAGAGAGCACAGAAAAAUGACUGUUUUUUUAUUACAUAACAUUUCUACUUAUGUCCUCCUUUGGUUUUUUUAUGGCUCUGAAAUCAGAUGAUUGAGAAUAUCCCUAAUAAUUCAUGUUACCCAAGCAUUUAUCUGUUGAUACAACAUACUUUAUCAGCAAAUAUUUACAGGGUAUCCAGUCAAGUCAUUUCUAGAGAGAAAAACUCAUACAUAGGAAGUAAUAAUAUACUGUUUUCCUGAAACAACCUUUUUCUUCCUUCUUCUCUUUCUCUUCAUUAAUCAAUUCCUUUAUUUCUACAACUGUUAUGACGCACCUACAGUUUUCUGGUACUGAGCUAUUAAUGUUGUCAGAGAACAAACAAAAAUCAUUCUGGUUCCUGGCGCUGAGCACUGUCCAAGAUGCUGAAUGGAUGGAGUCAGCAAGCUCAGGUGGAAGAAUUUGUGUAUAGAGAAGAAUGGUUUAUUGGAAAAACCAACCGAACAAACAAAAACUGGAUCAGAAACUGCGGACCCUCGUUUUUAUCCAGUAUCGUGGCCCAUCACCUCUGUGGCUUUGACUAAAUUGUUUAAACAUUCCUAUGUAAUUCUUUUCCAAAUGGAAAGUUAAAGUCCUACUGAAGUGAGAUUCAUUGUUUGAUAAAAGGGUAGGCUCUGAUAAACACUUAAUGCAAUUCACUUCAAUAAGAAUUCAUAGAGCAACUACACUGAACUAAGCACACAUGGAAUAGAAGUUAGAACUGAGAUACAAUAAGGAAUGAGUCCUUGCCAUCGGAGAAUUAGCAACUAGAAAAAUAAAUAUAUGAACACAUACUUGACUGUCAAACUAAAAGAAACCUGUUCUUCUCACAACACAUGAUGUAACAGAAGAAAACUGUAUAUCCAAUUUGCUAGUGAACAUAUAUAUUCCCAUGUGUUCUAUGCACGUAUACAGAGGCUAAGCUAUUUAGAUGACCCUGAAUGGAAUAUCUCCCACUUGUCUUCUCAGAUCCACUUCCUACCCUUUUCUCUUUGUCUUGUGCCAUGAGAGGCUGACCUGUAUAGGCUACAUUAAAGGGAAGAAGGAGAGUGGGGAGUGAGGUCUGGGUAUUUAAUCCCUUAGAUGCUUACUGCAACUUGCUGCAGGCUUGCUCUUUCGCCCGAAGUUUUCAGUGGCCACAGGAUGGCCCUCUGUACACAGUCCUGCCCAAUUUGAGCAAACUGUUCUCUCCUCUUACUCCAUCAGCCCUAGGGACAGAAAUAGAGCAUCAGGGUACUGUAAUACCUUCCAUGAGUCCAACAGUCACACCUUCCAUGGGUUUUAUACCUUCUUUCUCAUGUUUUAGAAGAGGCAUUUUAUUAAACUCUCCUCAAAUCAUCCUAAUUUCAAAGUGCCACAUGUUUUCAGGUGGGAUCCCGCUUUUAUAGACUUCAUAUCACCUUAUAGGAGUACCAUGUUACCAUUUAUUGGACACUUGCUAUAUACUGACUGAUAAAAGUGCUAGGCAAAUGUUCUCUUCUAAUAUUUUAAUAAGAAAUAGAGAAUCACCAACUUUAUUGGACAUCUGCUAUAUACUGACCAAUAAAAGUGCUAUGCAAAUUUUCUCAUUUAAUAUUCUAAUAAGAAAUGGAGAGUCACUAACUUUCUUUUUACCUACCUGGAAUCAAAGAACAAAAUGUGGCUGUUAAAAGAGGCCAUUUGGGGCUAGGCACAGUGGCGCAGGCCUGUAAUUACAGCACUUUGAGAGGCAGAGGCAGGCAGAUCAGUUGAGGCCAGGAAUUUGGGGGAAAUAAUAAUUUCCUUAUUAGAGUCUAUGUAAUUUUACCAAGAUCAUCAAAGUCCUUAGUAAAUUUCCGCUUACAAUAUAAAUGAUGUCCCAUUAUAAGGCCCAAAAUUCUAGAGCAAUGGAGAAUGAGGUUUGGGAGGUAGGCAGGCAUCUCAUUAUGAUAAAGGUGAUGAUAAUAACCUUGUCAUUUGGGGGAUUUUAUUUUACUUUAUUGCCUUAAAAUUCAAUGCAGAAAAGUUGUUGACAGUGGG
Long non-coding RNA from Papio anubis (olive baboon), 5029 nucleotides. The record is from Ensembl. NCBI's taxonomy places the organism in Eukaryota, Metazoa, Chordata, Mammalia, Primates, Cercopithecidae.